UCUCUCGUGAAUCGAAUGUUUUGUAAGCCCCCAUUUGUGUGUUGUGUAACAGGGGGAACAGGUGGAUGGCAUUGGUUUCCUUUCUGGAUACCACUUGUCGCGUUUGUCAUCUGGGGAUCUAGAUAGGCUGGUAAGCGUUUGAUAACCUGUUUUCUCUUGUUUUCUUGUAGCACACCAUAUUGUUUGAACUGCAUGCAUAUUUCGGGUUUUUUUGUUUUUGUGCAGUUUGUCCCUAGGGGCAUGGUCACACUGUGUGAUAUGUACCCCGGUGCUUCUAUCACGCUAGAAGAUUGUUUCUCUAGAAUGUUCAAUGUUGUGUUGGAGUACUGGGUAGGGGUGAACUACCUUGGCCAUGGUUGGCAGCAAUUCCUUGUAAAUGUGCAGGCCAAAACUGGUGACUCUAUAUUGUUCAAGUUUAAGGGACCUCGGACAUGCAAGGUGAUUGUUUUUGGUGAGGGCGAAGGUGUUCAGAAGUUCCCUUGUUUCGAUGACAAUAACAGGCACCUCCUGAUUCGUGGAGGAAAGCAAGGUGUUGCUAGAACACAACUUUGAUUUGUUUUCUAAGUGUAGAUGGCUCCGGUUUCUGCGUUUCAAGAUAUAUUGUUUGAAUACAAUGAUAUUGUCUAUAGGAUGGCCGAUUCCUCUGAGCCCAAAGCAGGCGGUCGAUAUUGGUCCAUGUACACGGGCUACAUCAAGAUCAGGUACCAAACGUAAUCUAACUGCGGGUGUAUCUUACUUUUAUCGUUAGCCUCUUGAUCCGUUUGUUUUUGCCACUUGGAAGGUUCCGUUGGAGAGAGAACUAGUAGUGCGACACCUAAACAGGAUGAGCACAUUGAAAGUAAUGUUUUGAUCAUGUAUCUUUAAUAAAAAUUUACCUAAAAAAUGUUUACUCGUCGGUUGACACCUGC
This 908-nucleotide long non-coding RNA is filed under the name Sorghum bicolor (sorghum). RNAcentral describes it as "long non-coding RNA (SBIC_LNC002333)". Lineage: Eukaryota; Viridiplantae; Streptophyta; Magnoliopsida; Poales; Poaceae. The record is from RNAcentral.